Long non-coding RNA from Sceloporus undulatus (fence lizard), 437 nucleotides. RefSeq lists it as uncharacterized. The record is from RefSeq and is a predicted model, not a curated record. The transcript is spliced from 3 exons. Lineage: Eukaryota; Metazoa; Chordata; Lepidosauria; Squamata; Phrynosomatidae.
GGGCAGAUCAGCUAACGCAUCCGAUAAUCCGUUGAACAGGAUAGCUCACACAAUUGGCCCUUGAAGUCCAGGUCUAUGGUGAAGUCCAGAUCUCGCUGCACAUGAGACAGAAAAGGGAAAGAUAUGAAACUGCAAGGAGUGGGAAGAGACAAGCACUAUUGCCAGAGAUAAGAAGUGGUCAAUGGUACGCCUUUUGAAAGGAGAAACAGAACCUUCCCCAUCAUAGAGCAAAACAACCUCAUUGAAGAUUUCAUGACUGAAGGAUACAGAUCCCAGACCACUCUGACGAUUAUCCUCUAGACCUCAUCAAACCCAUUACCCAGGGUGGAGAAAAUGAGCCCAACAUCAGGCUCCUUGAGGCUCAUUUUAGGAUCUGAAAAUCCAUAGACUCCUGUUUUUAAAAUAUUAUUUUCAGCCAAAAAAACAAAACAAAACAA